RNAcentral lists this long non-coding RNA (343 nucleotides) under Trifolium pratense (red clover). RNAcentral's name for it is "long non-coding RNA (TPRA_LNC001076)". Lineage: Eukaryota; Viridiplantae; Streptophyta; Magnoliopsida; Fabales; Fabaceae. The record is from RNAcentral.
AAAAGAUGAGUUGUGUUACUGCUCUGCUUUGAGCUUAUCAAAUAAGUUUUGUUAAAAACUUGAUUACAUUACCUAGAUCCACACACAUUAACUUUAAAUUAUGAAUUAUCCUUGGCAUGCUUAUUGGCUCAUCAUUGCUUUGAAAGAAUAGUACUAGUUUUUGGCAUUGACUUUGUCUUGAUGGAUUUUUUAUUUUAUUCUUUUUAAAGAAUUGUAGUAUUAUUUAAUGGAACGUUCAAUGACAGCCACAUAAUAUAUCACAUUAUUGCGAGAAAGAAUAUCAUGUUGAAGGCAAGAAAUGUAGGUCAACAUUAAUUUCAUUAACACAGAUGGUUAUUCCCUU